This is a long non-coding RNA of Spodoptera frugiperda (fall armyworm), 513 nucleotides long. RefSeq lists it as uncharacterized. The transcript is spliced from 2 exons. Lineage: Eukaryota; Metazoa; Arthropoda; Insecta; Lepidoptera; Noctuidae. The record is from RefSeq and is a predicted model, not a curated record.
CGGCCUGUGUUGGUACAUUCGCACUGAGAUACUCAGUUGAUACAGUACUGUGUUUGUGUAUUUACAGAAUAUUUUUUUUUUAAAUACAGAUCACCAUGGCACGCACAGCUCUAAUCCUCAUCUUAGCCAUCGUACCCUGCUUCUGCCAACGGCCAUUCUACGCUGGACUUCGACCAAUCGGAUACCCAGAAACCCCAGCAGCCACUGGCAUAUUCGACAGAUUUUCAAAUGAACCAAUACCAGCCCAGCUCAACGGAGACAGGAACUACGCGAACCAACUCAAUGCCUUGCCAGUGGACAAUCAACCUUUCUUCUUUGUAAAUAGAGACAAAGUUGCUGAAAAUUUAAAGAACCCUCAGACUUAUCCUCAGAGACCCAGUGGUUUUAAUGAAAAUAAUAGGAAUACUCUUUGAAUGUAUUUAGUUUAAUUAUUUUUGUUGAUUCUUUUUUGAUACCUAUGUUAAUUUAUUAAGUUAGGGAUUCUAUUUAUAAAAAUAAAGAAAUUGAAACUAA